AUGUCCACCAUGAGAGAGGAGGCUGCCCUAGAAUUCAUAAUCCUGAAGAGGGUGUCCCCAACGAUGCCCAGCUUGGGUGGUGAGGGAGGGCACAGUGGCUACAAAGUGAAGUGCCUGGAACAUAAUGGGUAUCGACGCUGGUGGCAGUUGGGUUUGGUCCAGUGUAACUGGGGCAUCUCUGUGUGUGGGGAGCAUCUGUGCAAUGGGAUCAUCUGUGCAGUGGGAGCCUCCCUAUGUGAUGGGAGCCUCUCAGUGUGUGGGGAGCAUCUAUGCAAUGGGAGUAUGUGUGCUGUGGGAUCAUCCCUAUAUGAUGGGAGCUUGCUGUGCUGUGGGAGCAUCUGUGCAGCGGGCUCAUCCCCGUAUGAUGGGAGCCUCGCUGCGCUGUGGGAGCGUCUAUGCAGUGGGAUCGUCCCCAUAUCAUGGGAGCCUCGCUGUGCUGUGGGAGCAUCUGUGCAGUGGGAUCGUCCCCGUAUGAUGGGAGCCUCGCUGUGCUGUGGGAGCAUCUGUGCAGUGGGAUCGUGCCCCUAUGAUGGGAGCCUCGCUGUGCUGUGGGAGCGUCUGUGCAGUGGGAUCGUCCCCGUAUGAUGGGAGCCUCGCUGUGCUGAGGGAGCAUCUGGGCAGUGGGAGCCUCCCCAUAUGUUGGGAGCCUUCCCUGUGAGGUGGCUGCAAUGCUGCCGGUUUCCCAUCAGGCCCACUGUCGUGUGGGGUGAUUUGGGACACUGUUCCUGGAAGUGGGCUUGGCUCAUCCACCUCAUGACAGCUCUAGGAGCUCGCAACAUUCUUCAGUAAACUCCUUCUCUGCAUGAUCAUUGGCAUCUGCCUCGGCUGCUUGCAAAUAAGAGCCUGCCUGAUCCCACAUCCUCAUAUUUGAUGCUCCCCUGGCCUCUUCCCCCACCAAACACAGGCUGACAUGAAUCCCCAUAGUGAGGAGAGAAAUGUCAGCAUGAGAAAUUCCUCUUGCAGAUGAUGUCGAUGAUAGUUUACAUUUUUAUAGCUUUUUACAGCCUGUGAGAGCAGUUCUGAGCUCUCUGCAAACACAUCAGUCAAUGAGGAGAAGGGUUCUUGGGGGUAAAACCACCCGUUUAUUAUUAAGCCAUUAUUACCUUCAGGUCAAAAACCAUUAAGUAGGCGUCUGCCCGAUGCUUGUCACCUGCACAGAGCUCCUUUGUCAGAGAUGUCUGGUGUCUGGAGUUUACAAUCUAAUAGCCCUGCUCUGCAUGUGAGUCCACCUUGCACAGACAGGCAAAGAAACAGCACCGGUCACUGAUUUCAUAGCUGGGGAAGAUCCCAGCUAUAGAUCGGGAAACUGAGGACAGGGUGACCUGCGCAAUGUCACACAGUGCCCAACUUAGGAUCAGACCCUGGAGGUCCUGGCUCUGCCCAUGAGGGGUGUAUAACAUACAUAAAUAUAUACAACGAAAUAUCCCAUGCCAGCCUUCUCCCCACUCACGGACUGUGUGAUUCUAGAGUACUGGGAAAAAGGGUGUAGCGUCAAGUCAAACCUGGUUGUGCCAAGCAACAAGCAUCUCCCAAUCACAGGGGCCUCCACCACCGUAGCCAUGCCGCACGUCUGCCUGCUGGAGCAGGCUUGCCUGGGACACUGCCAACCACUGUGGCAGAGGGAAGGACAGCCCUGGAGGGGUCUCUGUCUGGCAAUGAAAUACUCCAGCUCUAAAGUGCCCUGCAUCACUUCCACUUAGAACUCACUGGCCAGGGCUGGUCACAUCGCCACCCCCAACUACACAGGGACCAGGAAGAGCAUCAUGGUUCUUAGGGGCUCAUCUCCAGUCUGUGCCAGUUGCAUCCCUGAGGCUCCCGUGCCUCAGCGGCCUCCCUAUUCCUCCCAGCAUUUCUGAGGCUACUGCCUGCUUUACCGCUGGACACUCCUGGAGUUGGGGACCACGGUCCCCCUGAUGGAGUGCUGUGUCCCUCCACUCCAGUCUCAGUAGAGAGACCAAGAUGAUCAGGUCAUGCUCCCGAGGAAAGCAGCUACAGGGGACUCCAAGGAAGAAAGGAGUCUUCCUCUCCCCUUUCCUUCCUUCUCUAUCUUUCCUUCUUUCCUUUUCUUUUCUCCUUCCUCCCUCCCUUCCUUCUCUCCCUUUCCCUUCCUUUCCCUCCCUUCCUCCCUUCCUCCCUCCCUCCCUUCCUUAUUAAAAAAAAAUUAGCCAGGUGUGGUGGCACGUGUCUGCAGUCCCAACUACUCUGGAGGCUGAGGUGUGAGGAUCACUUGAGUCCGGGAGGUUGAGGCUGCAGUGAGCCGUGAUUGUGAUUAUGCCACUGCAUUGUAGCCUGGGCAACAGAGAGAGACCCUGUCCCCACCGCAAAAAAAAAAAAAAAAAAAAAAAAAAAUGACCUAUAAAUAAGACUUCUGGGUCGGCCGGGCAGGUGGCUCACGCCUGUAACCCCAGCACUUUGGGAGGCCUAGGCAGGUGGAUCACGAGGUCAAGAGAUUGAGACCAUCCUGGCCAACAUGGUGAAACCCUGUCUCUACUAAAAAUACAAAAAUUAGCUGGGUGUGGUGGCAGGCGCCUACAGUCCCAGCUACUUGGGAGGCUGAGGCAGGAGAAUCGCUUGAACCCGGGAGGUGGAGGCUGCAGUGAGCUGAGAUGGCGGCUCUGCACUCCAGCCUGGGCGACAGAGUGAGACUCUUAUCUCAAAAAAAAAAAAAAAAAAAAAAAAAAAAAAAGGCUUCUGGGUCUAUACCUAAAAGAAUUGGAAGCAGGAUCUCAAAAAGAUAUUUGCACACUCGUGUUCAUAGCCACAUUCUUCACAACAGUCAAAAGGUGGAAGCUAGCUUCCUGCCCUCCCUUCCCUCCUUUGCUCCCCUCUCCUCCUUUCUUCUCUCCCCUUCCUUGUGUGUUUACUGUGGUAAAAUACACACAAUCAAAUGUGCAGUUCAGUAGUGUUAAGUAACAUUCAUGUUGCUGUGCAAUCUCCAGAACUCUAUUUAUCUUGCAAAAUUAAACUCGAAUCCCAUCAACGACUCCUUAAACCCCCCUCCAGGGCCUGCCGACCACCACUCUACUUUCUGUCCCUACGGAUUUGCUUAUUCUGAACAUUUUGGAAUGGAAUCAUCCAGGAUGUGGUCUUUGCUGGCUGGCUUCUUUCACUUCACAUCAGGUUUUUAAGUCUUAUUCAUGUUGUAGCAUGUAUCAGGACUUCAUUAUUAUUAUUAUUUGGACUUCAUUCUUUGAGGCUGAGGAAUAUUCGCUUGCAUGGAUGACCACAUUGCGUAUCCAUUCAGCUCACGAUGGACCCUUGGUGGCUUCUACCUUUUGGUGGUUGUGAAGAACGUCGCUACGAACAACACGGGUGUGCACAUAUCUCUUUGAGAUCCUGCUUCCAAGUUUUUGGGUGUAGACCCAGAAGUCAUAAUUAUAGGUUUUUUGUUUUUUUUUUUUUUUUUUUUUUUUUGCAGCAGGGACAGGGUCUCGCUGUGUUAGCCAGGCUGCAGUGCAGCGGUGUGGUCAUAGUUCACUGCAGCCCACCCCGUGUGCCCUCCCAGACUCAUGUGAUCCUCCCAUAUCGGCCUCGGGUACUGGGACUACAGGAACGUGCCACCACACUUGGCUAAUUUUACAAUUUUUUUAAAGAGACAGAGUUUCACCCUGUUGCCCAGGCUGAUUUCCAACUCCUGAGCUCAAGCAAUCCACCCACCUUACCCUCUUAAAGUGCUAGGUCUACAGGUGUGAGCCACCAUGCCUGGCUGUAAGCUAUUACUUUCAUGGUCAAAUGGAAAAUGACAAAUGGGUCCACGCUUAUUGUGGGCACCCCUUUAGCCUACACGCUUCCCAGUCCCUCUCUCUUCUUCGGAAGUCUUCCCUCCUCUGGGAGGGGCUUCGGCUGCGGGCCUCUCCACCUUUGGGACUCCUCCUCUUCCUCUCCCCAGGGCCGGCACAUCCAGAGAGCACAUUCGCCCCCUACCUCGUGAUUCCUGGGCCACAGCCCACCCAGCAGCACCUUCCUGAAACGGAGCUAGUCCUUCUAGAGAUGAACACCAUGGGGUGCAAAGUGAGUGCUUGAGAGGGCACACGGGGUGGGCACCAGCACUCCAAUGGACCCACCUCUGAGACCUCCUGCCAGGGCUUAGCUGCUGUGUGGUGUAUACUUGCACACACACACAGACACACAUGCACACACAUACACACCCACCCACUUGCACACACACACACACCAC
RNAcentral lists this long non-coding RNA (4177 nucleotides) under Macaca mulatta (Rhesus monkey). RNAcentral describes it as "lncRNA (ENSMMUG00000065099.1)". The record is from RNAcentral. Lineage: Eukaryota; Metazoa; Chordata; Mammalia; Primates; Cercopithecidae.